CCCUCCUCUCGUUCGUCCCCGUAGCCUCCGCCGUGCUGAUGGCUCUCUGCGCCUACGGUCUGUCCCACAGGAGAGCUCUGGGCAAAUUCAUCUGCCGCAACGCUGUCAACAAGGAUGGCAAUAAGGAUUUGCACUAUGUCAGUCUUCAGCUGCAUGGAAAAGCCUGCCCCCCUCGGCAGAGGGAGACCCCGCCCCUUCCCAG
Molecule: long non-coding RNA, 202 nt
Organism: Megalops cyprinoides (Indo-Pacific tarpon)
Lineage: Eukaryota; Metazoa; Chordata; Actinopteri; Elopiformes; Megalopidae
Exons: 3
Source: RefSeq, a predicted model, not a curated record